RNAcentral lists this ribosomal RNA (565 nucleotides) under uncultured bacterium. Its description in RNAcentral is "partial 16S ribosomal RNA". It matches the Rfam family "Bacterial small subunit ribosomal RNA", at positions 355 to 940 of the family's 1533-position model. The record is from RNAcentral.
UGGGGAAUAUUGCACAAUGGGCGAAAGCCUGAUGCAGCAACGCCGCGUGAGUGAUGAAGGCCUUCGGGUUGUAAAGCUCUGUCUUUUGGGACGAUAAUGACGGUACCAAAGGAGGAAGCCACGGCUAACUACGUGCCAGCAGCCGCGGUAAUACGUAGGUGGCAAGCGUUGUCCGGAUUUACUGGGCGUAAAGGAUGCGUAGGCGGAUUUUUAAGUGAGAUGUGAAAACCCUAAGCUUAACUUGGGGACUGCAUUUCAUACUGGAAAUCUAGAGUGCGGGAGAGGAGAAUGGAAUUCCUAGUGUAGCGGUGAAAUGCGUAGAGAUUAGGAAGAACACCAGUGGCGAAGGCGAUUCUCUGGACCGUAACUGACGCUGAGGCAUGAAAGCGUGGGUAGCAAACAGGAUUAGAUACCCUGGUAGUCCACGCCGUAAACGAUGAGUACUAGGUGUAGGAGGUAUCGACCCCUUCUGUGCCGCAGUUAACACAAUAAGUACUCCGCCUGGGAAGUACGAUCGCAAGAUUAAAACUCAAAGGAAUUGACGGGGGUCAUAGCUGUUUUUCCU